This is a long non-coding RNA of Puntigrus tetrazona (Sumatra barb), 324 nucleotides long. RefSeq lists it as uncharacterized. The transcript is spliced from 2 exons. Lineage: Eukaryota; Metazoa; Chordata; Actinopteri; Cypriniformes; Cyprinidae. The record is from RefSeq and is a predicted model, not a curated record.
AAACACACUCCACUGGAUCAUGAGACUAAAACACAUUUCCAGGCUCAGUUUUCAUCUUCACGUCUGUUUCGCUCCAGGAGGGUUUUUCCAGAGAGUCACUUUGCAUCGACACAUGCUUCAGCGCUCCGAGUGUUUAUAGCGUUCAGACUCAAACACUUUAUAACACACCGCUGUUUACCACGGUACAAAAUGAAUCUCUUCAGCAGCUUCAUCUGGAUUCUGACAGCUUUUAUUCCAGCAUCCAGAGGAAUCACUGUGACUCAGCCUGAAGUUCUGCCUGUUUCUGAAGGACAAGACGCCACUAUAACGUGUAAAACUGAACCU